Meriones unguiculatus (Mongolian gerbil) is the source of this 142-nucleotide small nucleolar RNA. NCBI's taxonomy places the organism in Eukaryota, Metazoa, Chordata, Mammalia, Rodentia, Muridae. The record is from Ensembl.
UCCCCCAGCAAUGGGUAAAGAGACACAUGCUGAUGGUGUUGCUCUUCUACCAGGCAGGGGCAGAGCAGACAGCAGUCCUUUGUUCAUCGAAGCUUGGUGUCUGGCUUGGUGGCCAAAGCAAUUUCAUGCCUACGACACAUAA